This 484-nucleotide ribosomal RNA is filed under the name uncultured bacterium. RNAcentral describes it as "partial 16S ribosomal RNA". It matches the Rfam family "Bacterial small subunit ribosomal RNA", at positions 30 to 507 of the family's 1533-position model. The record is from RNAcentral.
AUUGAACGCUGGCGGAAUGCUUUACACAUGCAAAUCGAACGGCAGCACGGGGGCAGCCCUGGUGGCGAGUGGCGAACGGGUGAGUAAUACAUCGGAACGUGCCCGGUCGUGGGGGAUAACGUAGCGAAAGUUACGCUAAUACCGCAUACGAUCUGAGGAUGAAAGCGGGGGACCUUCGGGCCUCGCGCGAUCGGAGCGGCCGAUGUCAGAUUAGGUAGUUGGUGGGGUAAAGGCCUACCAAGCCGACGAUCUGUAGCUGGUCUGAGAGGACGACCAGCCACACUGGGACUGAGACACGGCCCAGACUCCUACGGGAGGCAGCAGUGGGGAAUUUUGGACAAUGGGCGCAAGCCUGAUCCAGCCAUUCCGCGUGCAGGACGAAGGCCUUCGGGUUGUAAACUGCUUUUGUACGGAACGAAAAGGCUCUGGCUAAUACCUGGGGCUCAUGACGGUACCGUAAGAAUAAGCACCGGCUAACUACGUG